UACCAGCACCCCGAGUGGUCGGGACGAUUAUUGGGCCUAAAGCAUCCGUAGCCGGUCCUGCAAGUCUUCCGUUAAAUCCAGCUGCUUAACAGAUGGGCUGCGGAAGAUACUAUGGAGCUAGGAGGCGGGAGAGGCAAGCGGUACUCGAUGGGUAGGGGUAAAAUCCGUUGAUCCAUUGAAGACCACCAGUGGCGAAGGCGGCUUGCCAGAACGCGCUCGACGGUGAGGGAUGAAAGCUGGGGGAGCAAACCGG
This 253-nucleotide ribosomal RNA is filed under the name uncultured bacterium. Its description in RNAcentral is "partial 16S ribosomal RNA". It matches the Rfam family "Archaeal small subunit ribosomal RNA", at positions 474 to 727 of the family's 1478-position model. The record is from RNAcentral.